RNAcentral lists this ribosomal RNA (477 nucleotides) under uncultured anaerobic ammonium-oxidizing bacterium. RNAcentral describes it as "bacterial SSU rRNA". It matches the Rfam family "Bacterial small subunit ribosomal RNA", at positions 365 to 832 of the family's 1533-position model. The record is from RNAcentral.
UUCGCAAUGCCCGAAAGGGUGACGAAGCGACGCCGCGUGUGGGAAGAAGGCCUUCGGGUUGUAAACCACCGUCGGGAGUUAGGAAGUGCAGGAGCGUUAAUAGCGUUUUUGCUUGACUAAGGCUCCAGAGGAAGCCACGGCUAACUCUGUGCCAGCAGCCGCGGUAAUACAGAGGCGGCAAGCGUUGUUCGGAAUUAUUGGGCGUAAAGAGCACGUAGGCGGCCUUGCAAGUCAGUUGUGAAAGCCUUCCGCUCAACGGAAGAAUGCCAGCCGAUACUACAGGGCUUGAGUACGGGAGGGGAGAGUGGAACUUCUGGUGGAGCGGUGAAAUGCGUAGAUAUCAGAAGGAACGCCGGCGGCGAAAGCGACUCUCUGGCCCGAAACUGACGCUGAGUGUGCGAAAGCUAGGGGAGCAAACGGGAUUAGAUACCCCGGUAGUCCUAGCCGUAAACGAUGGGCACUAAGUAGAGGGGUUUU